UCAUCUAUUGCUGGUUUAGGUGGGUGCCCAUAUGCUAAGGGAGCGUCAGGCAAUGUUGCCACUGAAGACGUUGUCUACAUGCUUAAUGGGCUUAGGGUGAAAACCAAUGUCGAUCUACCAAAACUCCUCUCUGCUGGGGAUUUUAUAAGCAAGCAUUUAGGUCGUCCAUCUGGAUCAAAGACUGCUAUUGCCUUGAGCCGAGUUACUUCUGAUGCCUCUAAGAUAUGAGGCAUUUCAGGUAGACAUAUCCAUAUCCAAAUUAGCAAACAAGGAAAAUUGCAAAUUGAUUCCUGCAUGUGUUUGUAACAUAUAUAUAUACACAAAUAGAUAGAAAUAAAAACCACAAGCCAUAUAUCCUGAAAUUAUAAUUACAG
This 374-nucleotide unclassified non-coding RNA is filed under the name Hevea brasiliensis (rubber tree). Lineage: Eukaryota; Viridiplantae; Streptophyta; Magnoliopsida; Malpighiales; Euphorbiaceae. The record is from RNAcentral.